GGGUUCAUACGUUGGUCGGGCUUCUUGGUCUGUACUAGCGUAAUGGAUUCCUACCUUCUGAAUAACCGGCAUGCCAUUAAUUUGGUGCGCCGAGGAAGCAGGACUGUUACCUUGAAAAAAUCAGAGUGCUUAAAGCAGGCUAUCGCCUGAAUACAUUAGCAUGGAAUAAUGAAAUAGGACGGCAUGGUUCUCUUUUGUUGGUUUCUAGGAUCACCGUA
Molecule: ribosomal RNA, 218 nt
Filed under: Campeiostachys nutans
Lineage: Eukaryota; Viridiplantae; Streptophyta; Magnoliopsida; Poales; Poaceae
Description: Elymus nutans partial small subunit ribosomal RNA
Rfam family: Eukaryotic small subunit ribosomal RNA (bases 93-218)
Source: RNAcentral